UUAAGAGUUUGAUCCUGGCUCAGGAUGAACGCUGGCGGUGUGGAUAAGGCAUGCAAGUCGAGCGAUUAUAUUUAUAUAAUAGCGGCAGACGGGUUAGUAACACGUAGGUAGCUACCUCUCACUCAGGAAUAAGCCACUGAAAAGUGGUCUAAUGCCCGAUAGUCCCGCAAGGGUAAAGAUUUAUCGGUGAGAGAGGCGCCUGCGGCCUAUCAGCUAGUAGGUAGGGUAAUGGCCUACCUAGGCUAUGACGGGUAGGGGGUGUGAGAGCAUGAUCCCCAACAAGGGCACUGAGAUACUGGCCCUACUCCUACGGGAGGCUGCAGUCGAGAAUCUUCCGCAAUGCACGAAAGUGUGACGGAGCGACACCGCGUGUAGGAUGAAGGCCUUCGGGUUGUAAACUACUUUUAUAGGGGAAGAACUUUUUUGUGACGGUACCUUAUGAAUAAGGGGCUGCUAAUCACGUGCCAGCAGCAGCGGUAAUACGUGAGCCCCAAGCGUUAUCCGGAAUUAUUGGGCGUAAAGCGUUCGUAGGCUGUUUUGUUAGUCUUGUGUUAAAUAUCUGGGCUCAACCCAGUUGUUGCGCAGGAAACGGCAAGACUAGAAGGUGUGAGAGGUCUGUGGAACUCAUGGUGUAGGGGUGAAAUCCGUUGAUAUCAUGGGGAACACCAAAGGCGAAGGCAGCAGACUGGCACAACCUUGACGCUGAGGAACGAAAGCUAGGGUAGCGAACGGGAUUAGAUACCCCGGUAGUCCUAGCCGUAAACUUUGGAUACUAGCUGUUUGAAGUGUCGACCCUUCAAGUGGCGAAGCUAACGCGUUAAGUAUCCCGCCUGGGAAGUACGAUCGCAAGAUUAAAACUCAAAGGAAUAGACGGGGUUUCGCACAAGCGGUGGAGCAUGCGGUUUAAUUCGAUGGCAAACGGAGAACCUUACCAGGGCUUGAAAUCCAGACGAAAACUCUCUGAAAGGAGAGUCCUCUUCGGACGGCUGGACAGGUGUUGCAUGGCUGUCGUCAGUUUGUGCUGUGAGGCGCUCUCUUAAUUGAGGUAACAAACGCAACCCUCAUCGUGUGUUAUACGUGUCACACGAGACUGCCGCGCACAACGCGGAGGAAGGCGAGGAUGACGCCAAGUCAGCAUGGCCCUUUGACGCCCUGGGCUACACGCAUGCUACAAUGGCCGGUACAAUGAGUUGCCAAGCGGUAACGUGGAGCUAAUCUCAUCAAAACCGGUCUCAGUUCGGAUUGAGGUCUGCAAUUCGACCUCAUGAAGUUGGAAUCGCUAGUAAUCGCAGGUCAGCUAUACUGCGGUGAAUACGUUCUCGAAACUUGUACUCACAAAUAAAAUGCGCCCGGCAGAUUAUUUUUCCCCGAUGUUCGUUAAUCGAAAUCGGGAUCCCGACUAAAACGUCGGGGCCAGAUGGUUAAAGUCCAUCUCUCUGCGACCGUCGCAGAGCAUAGCUGAAGGAUAAUCAAAUAUCGCGAGGUAUUUGGUAAAGGAUCUGGAAGCAAAAUACAGCCCAUUUUAUCCGCCUUAGGCGGAGAAACGCAUCGACCCACGAUUGGGUGGUGAGCGUGGGGAAGAAGCAAUUUAUGUUUCAAUGGGAUGUGUGGAAAGGUAAAAUAAUUGACCCGGGGAGAUCUUAUACUGUUAAGAAACAUGCGCAGUGUAAGAAGUCAGCUAAGUUAUAAUACUCUGAUGUUCAUCAGAGGAAGGACUUUUCCCAUAUCGUGUGAUGUGACAUGGGACUCGCUGUAUGCGGGAAAUCCGCACGUACAGUGGGAACGGUUAAUCUAGGUUUCAUAGAAACCAUUCGCCCGUCAAGUCAGAGAAGUCGGCAGCACCCGAAGCUCCUUGCUUUAGCAAGGAUCCAAGGUGAGGUCGGUGACUAGGAUUAAGUCGUAACAAGGCAGCCGUAGCGGAAGCUGUGGCUGGA
This 1934-nucleotide ribosomal RNA is filed under the name Candidatus Spechtbacteria bacterium RIFCSPHIGHO2_12_FULL_38_30. RNAcentral describes it as "bacterial SSU rRNA". The stretch from base 1 to 1428 matches the Rfam family "Bacterial small subunit ribosomal RNA". Lineage: Bacteria; Candidatus Spechtiibacteriota. The record is from RNAcentral.